Molecule: ribosomal RNA, 518 nt
Filed under: Dialister sp. oral taxon B63
Lineage: Bacteria; Bacillati; Bacillota; Negativicutes; Veillonellales; Veillonellaceae
Description: bacterial SSU rRNA
Rfam family: Bacterial small subunit ribosomal RNA
Source: RNAcentral
CGCAAUGGGCGAAAGCCUGACGGAGCAACGCCGCGUGAGUGAUGACGGCCUUCGGGUGUGUAAAACUCUGUGAUCCGGGACGAAAAGGCAGAGUGCGAAGAACAAACUGCAUUGACGGUACCGGAAAAGCAAGCCACGGCUAACUACGUGCCAGCAGCCGCGGUAAUACGUAGGUGGCAAGCGUUGUCCGGAAUUAUUGGGCGUAAAGCGCGCGCAGGCGGCUUCCCAAGUCCCUCUUAAAAGUGCGGGGCUUAACCCCGUGAUGGGAAGGAAACUGGGGAGCUGGAGUAUCGGAGAGGAAAGUGGAAUUCCUAGUGUAGCGGUGAAGUGCGUAGAGAUUAGGAAGAACACCGGUGGCGAAGGCGACUUUCUGGACGAAAACUGACGCUGAGGCGCGAAAGCGUGGGGAGCAAACAGGAUUAGAUACCCUGGUAGUCCACGCCGUAAACGAUGGAUACUAGGUGUAGGAGGUAUCGACCCUCCUGUGCCGGAGUUAACGCCAUAAGUAUCCGCCUGGG